GACAGAGGAGCCAAGCGUUGUCCGGAUUGACUGGGCGUAAAGCGCACGCAGGCGGUCGCGCGCGUGGGGUGUGAAAUCUGGCCGCUUAACGGCCAGGCGCCAUCCCAUACGGCGCGACUGGAGUGAUGCAGAGGUCGAUGGAAUUGCCGGUGUAGUGGUGAAAUGCGUAGAGAUCGGGCAGGAACACCCCAGGGGGGAAAACCAGUCGACUGGGCAUCUACUGACGCUGAGGUGCGAGAGCGUGGGGGAGCGAACCGG
This 258-nucleotide ribosomal RNA is filed under the name uncultured bacterium. Its description in RNAcentral is "partial 16S ribosomal RNA". It matches the Rfam family "Bacterial small subunit ribosomal RNA", at positions 524 to 776 of the family's 1533-position model. The record is from RNAcentral.